Molecule: non-coding RNA, 792 nt
Organism: Zonotrichia albicollis (white-throated sparrow)
Lineage: Eukaryota; Metazoa; Chordata; Aves; Passeriformes; Passerellidae
Source: RefSeq, a predicted model, not a curated record
GGCUUAACUGCAGAGAGUCCAAAGUCUGAGGAAUAUGCAGUGCAUUUCUUCUUGGGUGAAAUUAAAACCACCACCGACAAAAUCAUGUGUCAGUUAUCACAAUGGGUAAUCAUGAUGGAAAGAUGAAGAGAAAUAAAAUAGUCAACUUGUCUCCUGUAUGCACUGCCUGUGAAUCUUCAGCCAAUGUGCACAGUUGAUAGGAAAACACACCUGUGGAUUUGGGAGCACUUUGCUCUUCUUGGUAAGAAUGAAGUUCUUCAGGCUGCAAGAAGAGCAGUCUGUCAGUCCUCCCAGUCCUGUAAAUCAGGGUCUUGGCAAAUUAUUCAAAAUCACAAGUGGAAGAAAAUUAAUGAGGAGCUUUGGAUAACCUUCCUAAGUUUCAGGGGGCUACAGAUGGUGAUUAUGACUAUAUCAAGCUUAAAGCAGAAAUUAUUUUCUGUGGAUGCCCAGCACCUCCAGUCUUUGUAUUCUCAUUAGAGUCUUUGUGACAGAGUUCCUGCUUGUAAACAUUUCAUUAAGGACUUGAACUGAACAAAAGGCUGUCUGUGAAGAUCCAUUGGUGUGUAUGAAUGCUGCAGAAGUGGUUGUUUAAGAAGAAAAGCUUUCAACUGCAUGAACUGAACAAAUUUCAGGCCCAGAUGUGAGGGAACUAAAAACAGAAAUAAUGAGAAACAAGGUUUUAGUAAAUGCUCUUAAUGUUAACUGACAACAAUCUCCCAUUUUCACUAUCCAAACUACAAGUUUUCUUUGUAUGCACACCAUUCACAUAAGGUUAAUAAACACCACAUUUUG